This 253-nucleotide ribosomal RNA is filed under the name uncultured bacterium. Its description in RNAcentral is "partial 16S ribosomal RNA". It matches the Rfam family "Bacterial small subunit ribosomal RNA", at positions 524 to 776 of the family's 1533-position model. The record is from RNAcentral.
UACGGAGGGUGCGAACGUUAAUCGGAAUCACUGGGCGUAAAGCGCGCGUAGGCGGUUCGUUAAGUGGGAUGUGAAAUCCCCGGGCUUAACCUGGGAAUCGCAUUUCAAACGGGCCGACUAGAGUACGGUAGAGGGAGGUAGAAUUUCCUGUGUAGCGGUGAAAUGCGUAGAUAUAGGAAGGAAUACCAGUGGCGAAGGCGGCCUCCUGGAUCGAUACUGACGCUGAGGCGCGAAAGCGUGGGGAGCAAACAGG